Molecule: long non-coding RNA, 1112 nt
Filed under: Nicotiana benthamiana
Lineage: Eukaryota; Viridiplantae; Streptophyta; Magnoliopsida; Solanales; Solanaceae
Description: long non-coding RNA (NBEN_LNC004539)
Source: RNAcentral
AUAAUAAGUUAAAAAGGCUACUGAAAAUAGCAUAAUAGCACCCAUUAUCCAUCCUGUUCUUUUAAAAGUAUAAGGAAGGCCAAGAACUCCAGCUCCAACUAUAGCUAUAAAUACAUUGGCAAAAGUUUUGGAUGGUGAAGAAAGGUGUUGAUUUUUGGCUAAAAGGGGUGUAUCUUCUCUUGGGAUUUGUAAAACAUGAGAGGAUGAACUUGCUUUAUUAUUUUUGUCAAACCCCAUUUGGUAUAAUCUUUAAAUUCUUAAUCAAGAAUCACAACUUCUCUUGGGAUUUGUAAAACAUGGGAGGAUGAACUUGCUUUAUUAUUUUUCUCAAACCCCAUUUGGGAAAAUCUUAAUCAAGAAUCACAAUAUAAGGCAAAAAUCAGAUAAAGAUCAAAACUUUAUUUCAAGAUUACCUCAAAUUUGAGUGAAAAUAGUGAAUAUGUGUUUUUGUUUUGUUUUGGGAAAGGGGAAAAAGCUUUGAACUUUGCUUAUGGUUUUUGCCUUUAAAAUCAAGAAUCUCAGUACAAGUGCAACAAUCAGAUAAAGAUAAAAAAAUAAAUUCAAGAAUACCUCAAAUUUGACUGAAAAUAGUGAAUAUAUGUUUUUUUUUGGAAGAGGGAAAAAAGUUUUGAAUUUUGCUUAUGGAUUUUGCCUCUGGUAAAUUAAUCGAGAAUCUCGAUACAAGUGCAAAAACCAGAGAAAAAUCAAAACUUUUUUUAUCAAGAUUACCUCAAAUUUGGGUGAAAAUAGUGAAUAUGUGUUUUUUGAAAAGGGGAAAAAGUUUUGAAAUUUGUUUAUGGUUGUUGCCUCUGCUAAAUUAAUCAGGAACCUCAAUUCAAGGGCAAAAACCAGAGAAAAAUCAAAACUCCAAUAUCAAAAUUCAAUCAAUUAGUGAAUAGUAUGUGUUUUUUGGAAAGGGGAAAAAGCUUUGAAUUUUGAUUAUGGUUUUGCUUCUGCCAGGAUUCAGGAGUUUAGAAAGAGAUAUAACGGUGUCAAAUCUUAAAAUGGCUUUAGGUAAAACUUCCAAAAAGGACAAAACAUGAAAGUGACAAUUAAGCAAUAUUUAUAUUUGAAUAAUAUGAAGUUUACAGUUCGUACACGUCUCUUUUUUG